UACUAGUGUUUCUCCUCAUAAUCGAAUGAAUCUUUUAUCUUUUACUAAAGAUUCACAUGGGGAGGAAAAAGCAUGACAGCUUGCCUCAAUUCUUUGAAGGCUUGUGGGAAUAAACAAGGCU
This 121-nucleotide small nuclear RNA is filed under the name Tursiops truncatus (common bottlenose dolphin). RNAcentral describes it as "U5 spliceosomal RNA (ENSTTRG00000025080.1)". It matches the Rfam family "U5 spliceosomal RNA". Rfam says of the family: U5 RNA is a component of both types of known spliceosome. The precise function of this molecule is unknown, though it is known that the 5' loop is required for splice site selection and p220 binding, and that both the 3' stem-loop and the Sm site are important for Sm protein binding and cap methylation. Lineage: Eukaryota; Metazoa; Chordata; Mammalia; Artiodactyla; Delphinidae. The record is from Rfam by way of RNAcentral.